GAGUUUGAUCAUGGCUCAGGACGAACGCUGGCGGCGUGCCUAACACAUGCAAGUCGAGCGGAGUCAGUAAGAGGAAGUUUUCGGAUGGAAUCUUAUUGAUUUAGCGGCGGACGGGUGAGUAACGCGUGAGCGACCAACCUUGCACAGGGGGAUAACGGACCGAAAGGUUCACUAAUACCGCAUAAGACCACGGUGUUGCAUGACACAGAGGUCAAAGGAGCAAUCCGGUGCAAGACGGGCUCGCGUCCGAUUAGGUAGUUGGAGGGGUAACGGCCCACCAAGCCUAUGAUCGGUAGCCGACCUGAGAGGGUGAUCGGCCACAUUGGAACUGAGAUACGGUCCAAACUCCUACGGGAGGCAGCAGUGGGGAAUAUUGGGCAAUGGGGGAAACCCUGACCCAGCAACGCCGCGUGAAGGAAGAAGGUUUUCGGAUUGUAAACUUCUGUCCUUGGUGAAGAGAAGAAGACGGUAGCCAAGGAGGAAGCCCCGGCUAACUACGUG
Molecule: ribosomal RNA, 501 nt
Filed under: uncultured Bacillota bacterium
Lineage: Bacteria; Bacillati; Bacillota
Description: bacterial SSU rRNA
Rfam family: Bacterial small subunit ribosomal RNA
Source: RNAcentral